GGAGAAAAGCAGGGGAUCGCAAGACCUUGCGCUCAUUGAGCGGCCGAUGCCUGAUUAGCUAGUUGGUGAGGUAAAGGCUUACCAAGGCGACGAUCAGUAGCUGGUCUGAGAGGACGACCAGCCACACUGGGACUGAGACACGGCCCAGACUCCUACGGGAGGCAGCAGUGGGGAAUUUUGGACAAUGGGGGAAACCCUGAUCCAGCCAUGCCGCGUGAGUGAAGAAGGCCUUCGGGUUGUAAAGCUCUUUCAGCCGGAACGAAACGGUCACGGCUAAUACCUGUGACUACUGACGGUACCGGAAGAAGAAGCACCGGCUAACUACGUGCCAGCAGCCGCGGUAAUACGUAGGGUGCGAGCGUUAAUCGGAAUUACUGGGCGUAAAGCGUGCGCAGGCGGUUUUGUAAGUCAGAAGAGAAAUCCCCAGGCUUAACCUGGGAACUGCGUUGAUAAAAGGAGGCUAGAAGGGC
This 470-nucleotide ribosomal RNA is filed under the name uncultured beta proteobacterium. RNAcentral describes it as "bacterial SSU rRNA". It matches the Rfam family "Bacterial small subunit ribosomal RNA", at positions 198 to 650 of the family's 1533-position model. The record is from RNAcentral. Lineage: Bacteria; Pseudomonadati; Pseudomonadota; Betaproteobacteria.